UCCCGCUUAGCUCAGUGGUAGAGCGCGUCACUAGUAAGAAUUGGCCAUCUUGAAUGGUUAUUUGCUUACGUAAUCAACAUGACGAGGUCAGUCGUUCAAGUCGGCUAGCGGGAA
This 114-nucleotide transfer RNA is filed under the name Ceratobasidium sp. AG-Ba. It matches the Rfam family "tRNA". From Rfam's summary of the family: Transfer RNA (tRNA) molecules are approximately 80 nucleotides in length. Their secondary structure includes four short double-helical elements and three loops (D, anti-codon, and T loops). The record is from Rfam by way of RNAcentral. Lineage: Eukaryota; Fungi; Basidiomycota; Agaricomycetes; Cantharellales; Ceratobasidiaceae.